GUGUGUGUUGUGUUAGUGUAUGCAGUGUGUGUGUGUUGUGUUAGUGUAUGCAGUGUGUUGUGUUAGUGUAUGCAGUGUGUGUGUUGUGUUAGUGUAUGCAGUGUGUGUGUGUGUGUAUGCAGUGUGUGUUGUGUUAGUGUGUGCAGUGUGUGUGUUGUGUUAGUGUAUGCAGUGUGUGUGUGUGUUGUGUUAGUGUAUGCAGUGUGUGUGUGUGUUGUGUUAGUGUAUGCAGUGUGUGUUGUGUUAGUGUAUGCAGUGUGUGUGUGUUGUGUUAGUGUAUGCAGUGUGUGUUGUGUUAGUGUGUGCAGUGUGUGUGUUGUGUUAGUGUAUGCAGUGUGUGUUGUGUUAGUGUAUGCAGUGUGUGUUGUGUUAGUGUAUGCAGAGUGUGUGUUAGUGUGUAGUGAAUGCAGAGUGUGUCAGUGUAAUGAAUGUAGUGUGUGUGUUAGUGCAGUGAAUGCAGAGUGUGCGUAAAUUUGUAGUGAAUGCAGAGUGUGUGUUAAUGUGUAGUGAAUGCAGAGUGUUAGUGUAGUGAAUGCAGAAUGUGUUAAUGUGUAGUGAAUGCAGAGAGUUAGUGUGUAGCGGAUGCAGAGUGUGUGUUAGUGUAGUGAAUGCAGAGAGUGUGUUAAUGUGUAGUGAAUGCAGAGAGUGUGUUAGUGUGUAGUGGAUGCAGAGUGUGUGAGUUAGUGUAGUGAAUGCAGAGAGUGUGUUAGUGUGUAGCAGAUGCAGAGUGUGUGAGUUAGUGUAGUGAAUGCAGAGAGUGUGUUAGUGUGUAGCGGAUGCAGAGUAUGUGUUAGUUUAGUAAAUGUAGAGUGUGUGUUAGUGUGUAGCGGAUGCAGAGUGUGUGUUAGUGUAGUGAAUGCAGAGAGUGUGUUAGUGUGUGGCGGGUGCAGAGUGUGUGUUAAUGUGUAGCGGAUGCAGAGUGUGUGUUAAUGUGUAGCGGAUGCAGAGUGUGUGUUAGUGUAUGCAGUGUGUGUGUUGUGUUAGUGUAUGCAGUGUGUGUGUGUUGUGUUAGUGUAUGCAGUGUGUGUUGUGUUAGUGUAUGCAGUGUGUGUUGUGUUAGUGUAUGCAG
Non-coding RNA from Pelobates cultripes (western spadefoot toad), 1069 nucleotides. Lineage: Eukaryota; Metazoa; Chordata; Amphibia; Anura; Pelobatidae. The record is from the annotation of a GenBank genome assembly.